This 1381-nucleotide long non-coding RNA is filed under the name Nicotiana tabacum (common tobacco). Its description in RNAcentral is "long non-coding RNA (NTAB_LNC010884)". The record is from RNAcentral. Lineage: Eukaryota; Viridiplantae; Streptophyta; Magnoliopsida; Solanales; Solanaceae.
GGGGCUAUUUUUUAAAAGUAAUAAGUUUAUAAAUAUUUUUUUAAAAAAUAUUUAGUACUUUUAAUAUUAAAGUAGAGUUUUUAAUAUAAAAGAAAAGAAAGCUCUUUAGAUAUAUAAAUAAGGUAAUAAUUUGGCUUACUUAAAAAUAGGUAAAUAAAUAGUGUUCCCGACGUUUCAAUUUUUCACAUCUUAUUCCUUCAUUAGAUAAUGUGUAAAAAAUUUAUUCUUCGUGUCUUAAUUUGUUCAAGUCAAUCUUUCUUUUACCCAAUUUCUUCAUAUUUCAGAAACUCCUAUAUACUUUUUGUCUGCUCUUUAAUAUUCUUAUUCACUUUAUUUCUCCAAAAUUUCAUUACUCACCUUCUUUCUUUAAGAUUUCAUUAGUUCAAGUGCUCAACAAUACUUUUAAACUUUCAAUAGUUUUAUAUUUCUAUUGUUCUAUAAAAUUUUAUCUAAUAUCAACUAUAUCUUAAAAAAAGAUUAAAUGAGUUGGCUAUAUUAUCAAUUAAAAGGAAUUAUUAGAAAAACUCGAUUAUAAAAAAGAUUAUUAACAACUUGAUAUCUCAAAAAGUUAGAAAGAUAAACUUCAAAUAAAAACAUAACAUAUCUUACAGUAACUUUAAAAAAAAAAAUUUAGGCCGCAUAUACUUAGCCGAUAACCCUAUAUUUAAACUCUCCGCCGAGCUCUAUUCCGCCUGCAUUUCCUGGUGUUAUCAAGAGGAAAGUAAAAUCUCUCUACUUGCUACCAACAUUCGUCGAAAAACUUAGGAAUUGUUUGCCUCUCAUAUAGCUUCCACUGAUUGAUCAAAUCAUUCUACAAAAUGCAUAUAUACUUACACAAGCUUCUCUUUUUACUUGCUUCUGGGAAACAGGUUCUGUCAUCUUGGCAAGAAUUGCUUUAAAAUUGGAAACCUAUACAUGUUGCAAAUUUUCAAUACCCAUGUUUCUGUCAUUUGCUUCCUGAAAGCUGAAAGAACCUGUUAAAAAACCAAGUAAUAGUGUGAGCACAAAUAUGUGAAUUAACUACCAACUAUAUAGUCUAUAAACAAGACAAAUAAAGUAUCUACUUUUACAUUCCACCGUAUUAUCCACACAGGCCCCUAAUUAAUUAACUUGAUUUAUAGUAGCAUCUUUUGAGGCUUAAUAUGCAGGAGUAUGAUGCUGGCUAAACAAUCAAAGCCCCCCUCCAAUCUCUUGAGAUAGCUAAGUAGGGAUGCUCCAUUAUCCAGCAUCAUCUCUCCUGCGUAGCAAGCCUUCUCAUGCUUCUCAUUUCCUAUUUUCUUAUUCUAUUCGAAAUUUGUGACUAACUCUAUUCUAUAUCUCUCUCCUUAUAAACAAGAAAAAUAGGGAUGUACUUGUCAAUGUCGAACUAGCUACUUGUUCC